AUGCAGGACGGUAAUCGAGAAGACAUGCUUAGCAACUUGCCUGAUCAUAUUUUGCUCACCAUUCUUGACCGGCUCAAUGUUCGCGACGCUGCAAGAACCUGUGUCCUCUCCCGACGGUGGCAGCAGCUCCCUGCUAUGCUCUCUCAAAUUAAGAUAGACGUUUUGGAUUUCCUCCCUGAGGGAACAACUGCAUGCUACCAACGCGAAAUUGUUCGAAUCAAUGGAGCUGCGGUUGAAGCAACAAAGAGCAUCAUGUCACGCAGGGAUCCAAGCCGAAACACCAUCCACCUCCUGUCCAUGAAGUUCUUUUUGAGAGACAAUGACACCAUAUCCAUUGGACAUGCUCUUGGACAGAUCAUGGCUACCCACAAGGUUGAGAUAGCCCAAUUCGCAAUUUUGACAGAGGCGCAUUACUCCCGCCGCGGCGAUGAUGAUCUGGUCUACUAUGGGAGAAAUUUUAUGUUGUUCUUUGAAGCUUGCCCGGGUGCAUUUGGUGGUCUCACGUGCCUCAAACUGCAGGAUUUGAGAUUUGGUAAAUCAGACAUCUGUAAUGUCCUCCUUACCUGCAAGCAACUAAAACACCUACGCAUGUUCAAUUGCGACUCAGGGGUUUGGGCCACACUGCAAGUUGAACACCUGCAGCUCAGUGAGCUUGAGAUCGUUAAUUGUUCAUUUAGAAAAGUCGUGCUCAUCUCCCUCCCAAAACUCACACAGAUGGCCUUUCAUGGUUGGAUCGCUUUCCAAGAUCCACUAUCAGUUGGUGAUGUACCAUUGCUCGAGACUGUAGAUCUCACCAAUGUUUGUCUUAGUAGCCACAAAAUGGUCAAGUUAAGUGAGUUUCUUGGUGGCACCUCUGUGCGUAACCUGAGGUUAGGAUUUGAGAGCGAAAAGAUUUGGGUGCAACCAGAACAUCUGACGAGACAGCUGGCAUCCGUGUUCUGCCAGCUAACUUUUGUGCAUAUGGCUGAAAUUCCAGAAGGGUAUGACCUCUCCUGGUCAUUGUUCAUUCUUGAAGCUGCACCCAACUUGAAGGAGCUAUAUUUGACGGUGUGGGAUCAUUUGUGUACAAUGGAAAUGGACAGGGAGAAGAGGAGGGCACUCUCGUAUAGCAUAAGGAAGGGUGUAAGGUGGGAAUCAUCUGCAUCUCGUUUCCAGCACCGGCGUCUGGAAACACUAGUAAUCUUUGGUUUUGAAUCUGAAGAAUACAUGCUGACGCAUGUCAGGUGUGUCAUGGAAGCAGCGGUGAAUCUAAAGAAUGUGUUCCUAUACAAUAGGCUGGCGUGUAAGAUGUGCCGCGACAACCCUCCGCCGUCCAGCUUCCCCUUUGCUGAGACUAAGAAGCUUUUGGUGGAGAAGAUAAUUACCAGUGGGAUCGAUUCAGCUGCCUCAAUUCACUUCCUGGCCGGCAAAACUAUAUGGGCUUCUCAUGUUGCAAAGAAGAACUUCCCAUAG
Molecule: ribosomal RNA, 1452 nt
Filed under: Triticum aestivum (bread wheat)
Lineage: Eukaryota; Viridiplantae; Streptophyta; Magnoliopsida; Poales; Poaceae
Description: partial small subunit ribosomal RNA
Source: RNAcentral